AUCCUUUAAUUUAAAAGGCAGCGCGCAGUUAUAAAGAAGACUUGGGACGUAACCCGGCCUGAGAAGCAGGCGUGCUGCCCCUUUGGGUCUCCUGCAAGCUGAUCCAGUUGGAAUUGAUACUGAUGGAAGAUUUUUUCCGCCUUGGAAAGACAAAGAUGGUUCCGAUGGUUUGGUGCUCCAUCUAGUGGAUAGUCUCUGUGACGAAAAACUCUGUGAUAAUAAAAGAAAUGCCUUCAAGAAGAAUGACAGUCUAGAGCCGGAGUUGAAUGAGAUGAUUUUGUGAAACUCCACAUAUGUAUGAAAGAAAAUAAUCAAGUACAGAGCUCAGGGGAAAAUACACAAAACUAUAUGGACUUAGAUUUUCAUCAGACCAGAAGAAAAAAUAAUCGUUUUUUGGAGGAAAAAACUCAUCAUCUCAGAGAGAGAGUGUCUCUCAUAUAUUUCAUUUUGUAUGAAAUAUGGCUUGGCUCCUAAGAUGCUAUAGUUCUCCAAAAAAGCAGGCAACACUGGGGCACCUCCUUCAGACAUGGGGAAAGAAGACUGCCAAGCAUUCGAAGGCCACGCAGCUGAGACGUGGCAGAGCUUGGGUUAAAAUCUUGUAACGCUGACCUGCAAGGCCGGCACUGCCUCCUCCACACGCACUUCCGCCCGCCGUGAUGCGCUGCUUCCACCGUCAUGCACUUCUGCCAGGAUGUGUGGCCUCGCAUCCGUGCUCCUUUGUGGGCAGCCUUCAUCCUUUGUAAUGUAGAAUGGUUAUGAGUGGCUGGUCAGGUGGAUGGAAAUUUUCUAAAAUACAUCAGACCAUUUCUUUUGUUGCUUUCUGAGACAGAAUACAUGGAAAUUAACAAAACAUCUUAAGAACAAUUUUACCUUUUUCAAAUAUUCAAAUAGAUUUUUCUGAAUUGAACAUUGAUUUUGGCCCUGCGCUAUAAUUUAACGAAAUCCUUAGUCAUUAACUCUGCCCCAUAAGCUAUGUAACCCCAGAAGUUUCCAUGAUUAAAAACAUUUCUGACAUCA
This 1017-nucleotide long non-coding RNA is filed under the name Equus asinus (donkey). RNAcentral's name for it is "lncRNA (ENSEASG00005024146.1)". Lineage: Eukaryota; Metazoa; Chordata; Mammalia; Perissodactyla; Equidae. The record is from RNAcentral.